This 95-nucleotide transfer RNA is filed under the name Streptomyces albidoflavus. RNAcentral's name for it is "tRNA-Arg". RNAcentral also lists the same sequence under 1 other name. Lineage: Bacteria; Bacillati; Actinomycetota; Actinomycetes; Kitasatosporales; Streptomycetaceae. The record is from RNAcentral.
CGUCUCCGUGACCGGCCGGUCGGCGCGCUCCAGUUCCUGGCGGGCGGGUGCGGGGGCCGGCGGGAGCAGGGCCGGUUCGAUGCCGGCGGCGGCGA